GAUGAACGCUGGCGGCGUGCCUAAUACAUGCAAGUCGAGCGAACAGACGAGGAGCUUGCUCCUCUGACGUUAGCGGCGGACGGGUGAGUAACACGUGGAUAACCUACCUAUAAGACUGGGAUAACUUCGGGAAACCGGAGCUAAUACCGGAUAAUACAUUGAACCGCAUGGUUCAAUAGUGAAAGACGGUUUUGCUGUCACUUAUAGAUGGAUCCGCGCCGCAUUAGCUAGUUGGUAAGGUAACGGCUUACCAAGGCAACGAUGCGUAGCCGACCUGAGAGGGUGAUCGGCCACACUGGAACUGAGACACGGUCCAGACUCCUACGGGAGGCAGCAGUAGGGAAUCUUCCGCAAUGGGCGAAAGCCUGACGGAGCAACGCCGCGUGAGUGAUGAAGGUCUUCGGAUCGUAAAACUCUGUUAUUAGGGAAGAACAAAUGUGUAAGUAACUAUGCACGUCUUGACGGUGCCUAAUCAGAAAGCCACGGCUAACUACGUG
This 497-nucleotide ribosomal RNA is filed under the name uncultured bacterium. Its description in RNAcentral is "partial 16S ribosomal RNA". It matches the Rfam family "Bacterial small subunit ribosomal RNA", at positions 28 to 507 of the family's 1533-position model. The record is from RNAcentral.